UACGGGGGGAGCAAGCGUUGUUCGGAUUUACUGGGCGUAAAGGGCGCGUAGGCGGGAUGGCAAGUCGGUCGUGAAAUCCUCCGGCUCAACCGGAGAACGUCGGCCGAGACUGCCGUUCUUGAGGGAUGCAGAGGAGACUGGAAUUCCCGGUGUAGCGGUGAAAUGUGUAGAGAUCGGGAGGAACACCGGUGGCGAAGGCGGGUCUCUGGGCAUCUCCUGACGCUGAGGCGCGAAAGCGUGGGGAGCAAACGGG
RNAcentral lists this ribosomal RNA (253 nucleotides) under uncultured bacterium. Its description in RNAcentral is "partial 16S ribosomal RNA". It matches the Rfam family "Bacterial small subunit ribosomal RNA", at positions 524 to 776 of the family's 1533-position model. The record is from RNAcentral.